This 253-nucleotide ribosomal RNA is filed under the name bacterium. RNAcentral describes it as "partial 16S ribosomal RNA". It matches the Rfam family "Bacterial small subunit ribosomal RNA", at positions 524 to 776 of the family's 1533-position model. RNAcentral also lists the same sequence under 2 other names. The record is from RNAcentral.
UACGAAGGGGGCUAGCGUUGCUCGGAAUUACUGGGCGUAAAGGGAGCGUAGGCGGAUAGUUCAGUCAGAGGUGAAAGCCCAGGGCUCAACCUUGGAACUGCCUUUGAUACUGGCUAUCUUGAGUUUGGGAGAGGUAUGUGGAACUCCGAGUGUAGAGGUGAAAUUCGUAGAUAUUCGGAAGAACACCAGUGGCGAAGGCGACAUACUGGCCCAAUACUGACGCUGAGGCUCGAAAGCGUGGGGAGCAAACAGG